Molecule: ribosomal RNA, 460 nt
Filed under: uncultured bacterium
Lineage: Bacteria
Description: partial 16S ribosomal RNA
Rfam family: Bacterial small subunit ribosomal RNA
Source: RNAcentral
CUACGGGUGGCACCAGUGAGGAAUAUUGGGCAAUGGACGAAAGUCUGACCCAGCCAUGCCGCGUGCAGGAUGAAUGCCCUAGUUGGUUGUAAACUGCUUUUGUACAGGAAGAAACCCUCCAACGUGUUGGAGGCUGCCGGUACUGUACGAAUAAGCAUCGGCUAACUCCGUGCCAGCAGCCGCGGUAAUACGGAGGAUGCAAGCGUUAUCCGGAUUUAUUGGGUUUAAAGGGUGCGUAGGCGGAACUAUAAGUCAGUGGUGAAAUCUUGCGGCUUAACCGUAAAAUUGCCAUUGAAACUGUAGUUCUUGAGUUCAGUUGAGGUAGGCGGAAUGUGUUGUGUAGCGGUGAAAUGCUUAGAUAUAACACAGAACACCGAUUGCGUAGGCAGCUUACUAAACUGUUACUGACGCUGAGGCACGAAAGCGUGGGGAGCGAACAGGAUUAGAUACCCGCGUAGUC